CUGGUUGAUUCUGCCAGUUGGCAUAUGCUCGUCUCUAAGAUUAAGCCAUGCAUGUCUGAGUUCAUACAAGUAAACGUGAGACUGCGAAAGGCUCAGUACAUCAGUUAUAGUUUAUUCGAUUGUGAAAUCCACAUGGAUAACCGUGGAAAAUCUAGAGCUAAUACAUGCGAACAAAUUCUAUUCAAUGGAGCAAUCCGUUGGUAGAUGAUGCAUUUAUUAGAUUAAACCAAUCGGUGGUGUGGUGGCGUUUGCCCAUUAUGCCACUGCUGUGGUGAGUCUGGAUAACUGUGCCGAUCGUAUGGCCUCGAGCCGGCGACAUUUCGAUUAAAUUUCUGCCCUAUCAACUUGUUGGUAAGGUAGUGGCUUACCAAGGUGAUAACGGGUAACGGGGAAUCAGGGUUCGAUUCCGGAGAGGGAGCCUGAGAAACGGCUACCACAUCCAAGGACGGCAGCAGGCGCGCAAAUUACCCAAUCCAGACACUGGGAGGUGGUGACGAGAAAUACCAGGUCGGUCCCAAAAGGAUUCGACACUGGAAUGAGUUUAAUUUAAAAAUUUAAACGAGAAACAACUGGAGGGCAAGUCUGGUGCCAGCAGCCGCGGUAAUUCCAGCUCCAGUAGUGUAUCCAAACGUUGCUGCGGUUAAAACGCUCGUAGUUGGACAAGAGAGCAACUUGGUGCGGGCGGGGAGUGUGGAGCUCUAUGUGUUUGCCUGUAGAGGUCGGUGUUGCCCGUAUUGUGUAAAGCUCUACGAGUGCCUGACUUCUCAGGAUGUAGCGUAGUAGUGCACUUGUCGACCAUGCUGCCAGGUUGCUUGUAAUGUUUCGUGAGAAUGGUGCAUGGUCUUUAUUGUAUUGUGCACUGUGUCUCACGUAGUGUGCCUUGAAUAAAUCAGAGUGCUCAAAGCAAGCUAUCGCUUGAAUGUUAAUAGCAUGGAACGAAUGUGUUGUGAGAGUGUGCUAGUGACUGUGCCUCGUGUACGGCCCUAGUGCAUAGCACCAACCGCGAAGCGGAACAUUGGUUGCCGACUUCGGGUGAGGAUUAAGAGGGGCAUUUGGGGGCAUUAGUAUUUGGCCGCGAGAGGUGAAAUUCUUGGACCGGCCAAGGACUAACAAGUGCGAAAGCAUUUGCCAAGUAUGUUCCCUUUAAUCAAGAACGAAAGUGAGAGGUUCGAAGACGAUCAGAUACCGUCCUAGUUCUCACCGUAAACGAUGCCAACCCGGGAUCAGUGCGGAUGAGAUGAUUUGGAUCCAGGUUGGUCCCCCUGGGAAACCUUGAGUGUUUAGGUUCCGGGGGGAGUAUGGUUGCAAGGCUGAAACUUAAAGGAAUUGACGGAAGGGCACCACCAGGGGUGGAGCCUGCGGCUCAAUUUGACUCAACACGGGAAAACUCACCUGGUCCGGACAUCGAUAGGAUUGACAGACUAAUAGAUCUUUCAUGAUACGGUGGGUGGUGGUGCAUGGCCGUUCUUAGUUCGUGGAGCGAUCUGUCAGGUUGAUUCCGGUAACGGACGAGACUGCGAUCUCCAUUUGGGGAAGUGCAGGACAGGUGACAAGGGUGGCCCCAGUGAGGAAGCCUCGGCGGAAUUGCGGGGAAACAGUGGCGCCUGGAACUGGGCUGCGCGCACAGCAAUGUGCGUCCCCAUGGAGAGACAGCCGGAUUGUAAGGCGGAGGAAGCGUGGCAAUAACAGGUCUGUGAUGCCCUUCGAUGUUCAGGGCCGCACGCGCGCUACAAUGAUAACGACAACGAGCGCCUGGACUGAAAAGUUCUGGGAAAUCUUUUGAAUCGUUAUCGUGAUGGGGAUUGAGCAUUGUAAUUGUUGCUCAUGAAAGAGGAAUCCCUUGUAUACGUGUCUCACUUAGGACACGUAGAAUGCGUCUCUGCCCUUUGUACACACCGCCCGUCGCU
This 1907-nucleotide ribosomal RNA is filed under the name Zschokkella icterica. RNAcentral describes it as "SSU rRNA". It matches the Rfam family "Eukaryotic small subunit ribosomal RNA". The record is from RNAcentral. Lineage: Eukaryota; Metazoa; Cnidaria; Myxozoa; Bivalvulida; Myxidiidae.